UACCAGCUCUCCGAGUUGUAGGGAUGAUUAUUGGGCUUAAAGCGUCCGUAGCUGGCUUAGCAAGUCUCAUGUUAAAUUCAGCGACCUAAUCGUUGAGCCGCGGGAGAUACUACUAGGUUAGGAGGCGGGAGAGGUCGACGGUACUUUCGGGGUAGGGGUGAAAUCCUAUAAUCCCGGGAGGACCACCAGUGGCGAAGGCUGUCGACUAGAACGCGCUCGACGGUGAGGGACGAAAGCUGGGGGAGCGAACCGGAUUAGAUACCCGGGUAGUCCCAGCUGUAAACUAUGCGGGCUAGGUGUUGGGGUGGCUACGGGCCAUUUCAGUGCCGCAGGAAAGCCAUUAAGCCCGCCGCCUGGGGAGUACGGCCGCAAGGCUGAAACUUAGAGGAAUUGGCGGGGGAGCACCACAAGGCGUGAAGCUUGCGGUUC
This 429-nucleotide ribosomal RNA is filed under the name uncultured archaeon. Its description in RNAcentral is "bacterial SSU rRNA". It matches the Rfam family "Archaeal small subunit ribosomal RNA", at positions 474 to 903 of the family's 1478-position model. The record is from RNAcentral.